AUUGAACGCUGGCGGCAUGCUUUACACAUGCAAGUCGAACGGUAACAGGUUAAGCUGACGAGUGGCGAACGGGUGAGUAAUGCAUCGGAACGUGCCCGGUCGUGGGGGAUAACGCAGCGAAAGCUGCGCUAAUACCGCAUACGAUCUGAGGAUGAAAGCGGGGGACCGUAAGGCCUCGCGCGAUCGGAGCGGCCGAUGUCAGAUUAGGUAGUUGGUGGGGUAAAGGCUCACCAAGCCGACGAUCUGUAGCUGGUCUGAGAGGACGACCAGCCACACUGGGACUGAGACACGGCCAGACUCCUACGGGAGGCAGCAGUGGGGAAUUUUGGACAAUGGGCGAAAGCCUGAUCCAGCAAUGCCGCGUGCAGGAGGAAGGCCUUCGGGUUGUAAACUGCUUUUGUACGGAGCGAAAAGGUUCUCUCUAAUACAGAGGGCUCAUGACGGUACCGUAAGAAUAAGCACCGGCUAACUACGUGCCAGCCGCCGCGGUAA
RNAcentral lists this ribosomal RNA (492 nucleotides) under uncultured bacterium. RNAcentral's name for it is "partial 16S ribosomal RNA". It matches the Rfam family "Bacterial small subunit ribosomal RNA", at positions 29 to 523 of the family's 1533-position model. The record is from RNAcentral.